Austrofundulus limnaeus is the source of this 2146-nucleotide long non-coding RNA. RefSeq lists it as uncharacterized. Lineage: Eukaryota; Metazoa; Chordata; Actinopteri; Cyprinodontiformes; Rivulidae. The transcript is spliced from 6 exons. The record is from RefSeq and is a predicted model, not a curated record.
GAAAUUAAAAUAUAUAAAAGAAMGUUGUUAAAAAACUAAUUUCAACUGAUUUGCUUCACCUGGGCUGCAGCUGCUCGGCUCGGUUCUGCGACGGAGUUCGUCUUCAGGUGUUUGACAUGGAGAAAAUGAAAAUUAGGAGGACACUGCUCCAGCGCUCUCAUUGCCCUUCAGCAGCCGGCUCCAAAGGCACGGCCCAGAGGAGGGUCAGGCAGGAGAGGCCCGAGGCUCACGUCUGAUCUGAAAAGAGGAUUCUUGUCUGCCGGCCUGGGAUUUACUGAAGCAGAGCCGUCGUUCCUGCAGUCGAAGGAGAGUUCAAGGUUUCUUGGAACGAGCAGCAGGACUCUGUUUCUCCACAUCAGAUCCUCACAUCGAGUUAAUGUUUUGAACUAUGAACAAUAUCAGCUGAUCAUCACUGACAUCCUUCAGUCCGUGCUUGCUUGCAAAUGAGGGUCUGCACAGAGAAGAUAAGGCACUCCCAGCCAAGGACUGAGGGCACCAAAUCAACCAGGAAUAAAAAAAAAAGUAGAGAGGGGAAGAAAUUCUCUCAAAGGAAACAACAAGACAUCCGUGUCUUCUGCAUGGGAUGUGAACGUAACUCUGCCCGGUUAGGUCCAGUGGCACCCAAGGUCGGCAGGCAGGGAUGUGAAAUCAGAAUCAGAAAGGCUGUUUGAGGGAGAACCCGAUGCCACGAGAUGGUCAGAGGAAGUCUCUGCAGUCCUUUUAUCUUCAGUGAGCACCAAAUCCCACAAGCCCUCUGAGGAUACGUCUACAAAAUGACUCACCAGAGUGAUGAGCAGCGGUUCAAACCACCCUGCCCAAUGUCACAGAGCUGACUGCCCCCCCGACACAUCCCACUGGUUCUGGACUCUAAGUUACUCAAAAGACCUUGGUAAUGCUUCCUGUGAGAACUGUGGGAUUUUCACACGCCUUCCUCAGUCCUGCUGAUCUCUCCUCUGAUUGGCUGGCUGCGGUUUUUCUAAGGCAUUUGUUGAUACAAUACAAACUUCUAUUGAUCCAAUGGACAUGAUCACUCAUUCGAAUGGAAACGCACAGCUAAAACAAGCAACUUGGGUGUGAAAUAUAUUAAACCUUUGAGAAAACAAUGGGCAAGAGACACAGGGAUUAAAUCACUGAGGAAAAAAAAUAUAAAAACAACAACAAGCCUGCUGUUCAAUUUCUGCUCUCCUCGAACAUGGCCGCUCAUAAUUUGAGCCUCAGCGAGGUCUGAUAAAUUUUACAUUAUUGAUAUGAUCUUCAGGCUCUCGGGCAGGGUGUAUGUUAUCACAAGUGACACGCUCAAUCCUUUUCAGAUUAGAUUCCCAAACCAACCCAGAUCCCAGCUGACAACAGCUUUCAGCGGCUGAAAUGAAUCAGCAACGCCUCUUCAAGAGGAGCACAGCUGGACCGGACUAUCUGCCCCUCCCCCCCGCAGACCCGAGGCCAUUCAUAAACACCACAGUGAUAUACCUACUCCCCCAUCACUAGCAGAGAGUCACGAAACAUCACAGCUCUUCUCAGAGUCCAACAAGCUGCUGCAGUGGUUGUGUGGAGAGAAGAGGAGGACAAAAGGAAGCGGUGAGAGCGGCUCCGUCACAUGACUCUGCUAUAUAAAUCAAACAGCUGCCAUCGGUUCCAGCGGGGGCCCCGGAGUGGGAGGGAGGGAUUUCUAGUCCCGGUUUCAGCAGCGAGUGUUUCUGCAGUAAGACGGUUCCAGAUCUAAUCAAAGAUAGACGGCUACACCGGGCCCUCAGCCGGCCUCCGUCAGACCUCUCCUCUGACCACACAGGCAGCUGCUGAUAAGAGGUGAGUGUGAAGCUGCACCCAGCUCAGAGAUCACUACAAACCCUGGUCACAGUCCACUGAGAUCUGCCUGGUAAUACACUAUCUGAGCUCCCUUCAGCUUUCAUCCUGGCUUUGUCAACAAACAUACACAUAAAGAACACGUACACAGAUACGUGGGCCCUGUUUACACGAGACCGGUCUCUGAAAAUGCUCAUGUUUACUGGGGUGAAUACACAAAAAAAUCACCCAUUUACAUGGAACCACUGCAGUAAUGUACCGGGCAGGGUUGCCAAUUGGGACAUAGUAAAGUGUUUUAUUGUUCCUUUAAAAUCAGCUUAUUUUAAGUCAAAACAGCAGAUUUGCU